Long non-coding RNA from Lathyrus oleraceus (garden pea), 697 nucleotides. RefSeq lists it as uncharacterized. The transcript has 4 exons. NCBI's taxonomy places the organism in Eukaryota, Viridiplantae, Streptophyta, Magnoliopsida, Fabales, Fabaceae. The record is from RefSeq and is a predicted model, not a curated record.
CCCAAUCUCGUUCCUCCCUCUCCCAAUUGUACAUCUCUCUUUCUCACUCGCCCUCAACUUCACUCAAUCGAUCUCUCGACCUCGUGUCUCUCUUUUUCCCAAUCUCUCAUCAUCUCUCAGCCGUCGUCUCUCCAACUCUCUCUACAUGCAACAAGAAACAAUGGCUUUAAAGAGUUUCAAACAAAUAAAACUCACCUUCGGCGACGGUUCCUGUAAUGGUGGGUUUUGAACUGAUUCCUCAGAUAAAAGGGGCAAACUGCCAAAAUCCUUUAGGGUACUCAGCUUGGAUCGGCCUAUUUGGAUGUUCGGUUUUUGGAAAAGUGAAGAAUUGAUCAUCAGUUUCGCUUUUCUCACAACCUUGUUGGUGUACUCGGCUUUGGGCGGCUCGUUUGCACCUGUAGCUUGCAGCGGCAUGGCCUUGCUAAUCUCUUUCGAAGGCAAAUACCCUACUUAUGUGCUUCUCAUUACCGACUGUUUUUUCGAUACCACAUCUGUUUGCCUGCAAAGAACUAGUGGGACGUGAAGGAAACGUAUGGUUAUACAGACCAAACUCGAGAGAAAAGGUUCGGCUUCCAGUUGGAUCAUGUGAGCUUGCACUUCCUAUGAGAGGCAGAGAGUUGGCUCACAAUGGGAAUGCUCCAAGAGAAGCCUAUGCAACGAUUCUGCAUUCGGCUCAUGUUUAUGUUUGUGGAGCCAU